Molecule: ribosomal RNA, 1234 nt
Filed under: metagenome
Description: bacterial LSU rRNA
Rfam family: Bacterial large subunit ribosomal RNA
Source: RNAcentral
UGAGUACGAGAUGCUACGGCAUCGAAGCAGUCUAUGUCAUACUUCCAAGAAAAGCUUGCACUGUCAGAAACAGAUAAUGCCUGUACCAUAACCGACACAGGUGGGUAGGUAGAGUAUACUAAGGGGCGCGAGAUAACUCUCUCUAAGGAACUCGGCAAAAUGACUCCGUAACUUCGGGAGAAGGAGUGCCUUAUUUUUAAGGUUGCAAUAACAAGAUCCAAGCAACUGUUUACCAAAAACACAGGUCUCCGCUAAGUCGUAAGACGAUGUAUGGGGGCUGACGCCUGCCCAGUGCCAGAAGGUUAAAGAAGUCGGUUAGCAUUCGCGAAGCUGGUAACUGAAGCCCUGGUGAACGGCGGCCGUAACGAUAACGGUCCUAAGGUAGCGAAAUUCCUUGUCGGGUAAGUUCCGACCCGCACGAAAGGCGUAAUGAUUUGGAUACUGUCUCGGAGAGGGGCUCGGUGAAAUAGACUUGUCUGUGAAGAUGCGGACUACCUGCACCUGGACAGAAAGACCCUAUGAAGCUUUACUGUAACUUGAAAUUGAAUUUGGACUUUAUUUGCGCAGUAUAGGUGGGAGGCGUUGAAAAUAUUCUUGCGGGAAUAUUGGAGCCAUCAGUGAGAUACCACUCUUGUAAUGUUAGAUUUCUAACUUUAUAUCAUUAUCUGGUUAAAGAACAGUUUCAGGCGGGCAGUUUGACUGGGGCGGUCGCCUCCCAAAUGGUAACGGAGGCGCACAAAGGUUUCCUCUGAACGGGUAGAAAUCGUAUCUAGAGUGUAAAGGCAUAAGGAAGCUUGACUGUGAGACCUACAAGUCGAGCAGGGACGAAAGUCGGUCUUAGUGAUCUGACGGUGCUGAGUGGAAAGGCCGUCACUCAACGGAUAAAAGUUACUCUAGGAUAACAGGCUGAUCUCCCCCAAGAGUUCACAUCGACGGGGAGGUUUGGCACCUCGAUGUCGGCUCAUCGCAUCCUGGGGCGGUAGUACGUCCCAAGGGUUGGGCUGUUCGCCCAUGAAAGCGGUACGCGAGCUGGGUUCAGAACGUCGUGAGACAGUUCGGUCCAUAUCCGGUGUAGGCGUUAGAAUAUUGAGAGGAGCCUUCUUUAGUACGAGAGGACCGAGAAGGACAUACCUCUGGUGUACCAGUUAUCGUGCCAACGGUAAACGCUGGGUAGCUAUGUAUGGAGUGGAUAACCGCUGAAAGCAUCUAAGUGGGAAGCCCACCUCAAGAUAAG